This 442-nucleotide ribosomal RNA is filed under the name uncultured bacterium. RNAcentral's name for it is "partial 16S ribosomal RNA". It matches the Rfam family "Bacterial small subunit ribosomal RNA", at positions 339 to 795 of the family's 1533-position model. The record is from RNAcentral.
CUACGGGACGCUGCAGUGGGGAAUAUUGGGCAAUGGGCGCAAGCCUGACCCAGCAACGCCGCGUGAGGGAAGAAUGUCUUCGGAUUGUAAACCUCUGUCCUUGGGGACGAAGAAAAUGACGGUACCCAAGGAGGAAGCUCCGGCUAACUACGUGCCAGCAGCCGCGGUAAUACGUAGGGAGCAAGCGUUGUCCGGAAUUAUUGGGCGUAAAGGGUGCGUAGGCGGCGCUGUAAGUCAGAUGUGAAAUCCCCGGGCUUAACUCGGGAGUUGCAUUUGAAACUACAGUGCUUGAGUAAAGAAGGGGUAAGUGGAAUUCCUAGUGUAGCGGUGGAAUGCGUAGAUAUUAGGAGGAACACCAGUGGCGAAGGCGACUUACUGGUCUUUUACUGACGCUGAGGCACGAAAGCGUGGGGAGCAAACAGGAUUAGAUACCCCCGUAGUC